UGAAUUCAAAAUUAUGGUGAUUAGAUUCAUUACAUAAGACAGUAUAUUAUAGAGUAAGUAUGUGAGCUGACAAAAUAUGGGUGAGCAAUAAUUACGGAUUCGAUUUGAGUUUGGAUUUAGUUUAUUUGGUAUAAGAAAACUUUAAUCAAAGUAAAUCCAAAUUAGUUUGGUUUGGUAUAAUUUUAGUUCGGUUUGGUUUAUGUUCGAUUUAGUCUUAGUUCAGUUUGAUUUGUGUUUAUUUCGAUUUAAUUUUUUUUUGUGUCUAUUCAUUUUAGUCGAGUUGAUUUUUUAGUUGGGUUAUAGUUUAAUUACAAAAUUAUGAUUGAUAAGAAGAUAAACAAAUUACCAUUUGAAAAAUCAUUAUUUUCUUCAUAUUUAAAUAUAAAUCCAAAUAUCACAAUAAAUUAUAAGAUAUAAUCUAAUAAUUUUAUGUUAUUAUAUUCAAAUCUUAUAUAAAUACCAUAGGUAAUUUUCUGUUUUUGAUGUUAAUGCAGGAGAUUCAUACUCUUUUAUUUUAUUUUAGUUGUGUUGAUUCUAUUCAUUUAGAAGUAAAAAUGUAUAAAUCAUAUUUAGUUGUUUAGUUUAAAUAUAUUAAAUCUUAAUAUUAUUACUGUCAUAGUUAAUUAGCCUAACUAAAAACUCAUGUUUAAAAUCAUUUGGUUUGGUUAAAACUGAACCAUUUGGAUUGAUAAAAUCUUGAACCAAAUGGUUUAAACAUAUAAUUUGGUUUGAUAUGGGUCGUGAAUGAAUCGGUUUGAUUUGGUAUGGUUUAGAUUUUUUUCCCACCACUAUAACAAAGAAAUUUUCCAUUUCUCAGCGUCAUUAUCUAUUUUGUAUGUAUUUUUAUUUAUUUCGAAAUAAGGGUAUUUUUCAAA
This 875-nucleotide long non-coding RNA is filed under the name Brassica napus (rape). RNAcentral describes it as "long non-coding RNA (BNAP_LNC001834)". The record is from RNAcentral. Lineage: Eukaryota; Viridiplantae; Streptophyta; Magnoliopsida; Brassicales; Brassicaceae.